UGCAACAAAAUUACUCGUAAAACAUACUUAAGGUAGUGCUAAAAAAUUACUCGUAAAACCCCAAGAGAUCAAGCCCUCUUUUGUUCCAAAUUCUUUAUUAAAUUUUCCUUAAAUCUGGCUUUUUUGAGUGCCAAAUUCGAUUUUUUUUUGUAUUAUCUUAUAAUUUCUUGGAGUAUAGUGAAGAUAAUUAGAAAAUAACACAAAUUUUUUGGUAUCAUCAUGAAGUAGAAUGAAGAUAGCGGCGAGUAGAGGAAGGAACAAAGACAAGUAAGUUCAGCAAGUCGACUCAACUAGCUACUUGCUGUUCGUUAAUUUGGAUCGGAUGUAAUUGUUCUCGCACAACACGUACCAAGAUGCACACCUUCCUACCGUAGCAACCGUCUGGAAGCCAGCCGCAGCAGGCCGGCAGCCUCUGCCAACCACAAUAGGCCGGCAGCAGCCCUUGCAGGCAGGCGCUAGCCGUCGCCAGCCACUGCACGCCGCAGCAGGUCAUAGCCAAGCAGUCACAGCAGGCUGGCAGCAGCCCCUGCCAGACACAGCUGGCUGACAGCAGUAACGGCAGCGACAUCAAUGCAGGAACAUUAAUGCUCUGAAGACAGCCGGUAACAAUAGCAUCAACACCUAUCAAUUACCCAAUUUUCCUUCGUUGUCUCACUCCUAGACAAUUUUCUCUCCUGGCAAUGUCCAGAGGUAGAGAAAGCUGUAGCUUCUUCUCUCAUCUUUUGCUCACGAUUUAUCUAGUUUAGCUGGAGGAAGAAAGCAUGGACAUACGAGAGGCAAUCGUGGUGGAUCAAGAGGCCGUGGUUGUGGUGCUCCUACUGGUACUUCAGAUAGAGUUGAUACUCUUGGUAGACUGUUGAGUUGGAAAUAUAGGAGUUGGAAACAUGAUCAAGCAUUUUGUGUUUAUUAGGGUACGUGUAUUGAGACAUGAUGCAACGGAGUUGAAUUUGGACAUGCAUAGUGAUGGAUAUGUCAAGCUUCAAGAUAUUUUGAAGCUGAAUAUGAAAACACGGUCAAAUAUUCCAUUAAGCUCACAUGCUAUUGAUGAAAUUAGAGAAGCUGUAAGGAUAGACAACAAGCAGAGGCUUAGCCUUAUGGAAGAGGAUGGAGAACUGUGGAUACGUGCAAACCAAGGUCAUACUAUAAAGGUUAGCUAUCUUUGCAGUAGUUUUAUUGUGUAUUAAAUUAAUUAAAAUUGUCAAGAACUGCUCCAUGAGUCAAUAUUAUUCCAAUUCCUGAUCUUUUCAAUGUUCUAGACUAAUGGAGAAGAUCUAGAUUGUUGGAUUCCACUUUUAGUACAGUUCAUAAGCUAUUUGAAAUUGACUUGACUCAUCCUGGAAAUGAUGGAGGACUUUUAGAAUUUGAAGUGGAAGAUAUACAUAGGUGUAAAUGAAUAAUUAUUUCGUGAAUGGAAAAUGGAAGUAACAGAUGAAGUCAAUCUUUUGGCAUUGCCAUGCUACAUAUUCCUUGUUCCUAGCAUGGGUUUGUUUGAUUAAAAUAGGAGGUACAGAUAAAGAAGGGAACGGCAAAGGAAACCCCUAAUUUACGGAAUUUGUUUUGAGGGGAAGGGCCAUUGUAUGCUGUUCUUCUUCAUUUUUAAUUUUUUUAAUUUUUUAUUUUUUUUUUCAUUUUUUUUUUGGUGAUGUGGUUUAACUCAGGAAUAAAACCUCCUUAAUCCCUCAAGGCAAGUGUCCCUUUCUCAGCUCCCUCAUUAUGGCGUCUUCUGUUGAAUCCAUCACCGACAAUUUCACCUUUGUCUUGCUGUAAACAUUUUCUUUCUUGUUCCCUCUCUAUAGCCCCUCACCCCUAACAACCUCCAUCUGCUGGCUAACUCACUCUUACCUUUCCCACCUCACAGUCCCCUCCGCUAAGGCGCUAACAAUUCUAUGAGUUCACAAGUUUCCUACUAGCUCUCUCUCUCAUUGGUAGUAGAAUUGACCAUGAAGGCUCUUAAUCUGGAGUCUUGCUGGUCAAAUUUAACCAUUUACAGCUCAUCAUUGUUAUGGCAUUUUAAAGUAUGUUCUUUUUGUUUCUUUUCUGGUUAUUAUGGUGGUAAAAAUGCCAUGAGCUGCUAAUUUUACGGUGAUGGGUAGAUUUGUUGUGGCUGAUGCUUCAGCUUUAAUGUGGUGUUGCGCUUGCAGACGUAAGAAUGGGGAAGGUAUCAUGGUAAGUUGAGAACAUUUGGCCAGGAAGCUAUGAGGUCCAUGAGGAUAUAUGUAGAAAUAUUUAGAGUAUUGGAGAUAUAAUUCAUUUUUGUUUUGCUUGAUGAGCGUGGUUAAGGUGUUGCUAAUUAAGGGAAAUAAAGAAUUAGAGCAAGAGCGAAGCACAACGGCAAGAGCGCUUGCUCGAUCGGGGUCAAGCUCGCCCGAUCGGGCACGCAAGCACGCUGGAAUACCGCUGCUCUGCCGCUUGAUUGAGCAGGAUCUGCCCGGUCGAACCCGCAUGUGCGCUGGAGAAGCAUUGUGUGACCGCCGAUCGGGCGCGAGUGCUGCUAUAUUCGCUGGAUUGUAUACGCUCGAUCGACCUACUUCUAGGUAGUUGUUGACGGUUAUUUUUGUUCGUGAGUUGCUCUAUAUAUAUACAUAUUGUAUAUGAUGAAAGAUAAGAAAUGAAAAUCAGAAAUUAACUUUCUUUUCAUGCUCCUUGUUUUUUUAUUAUUCUCUCUAAGAUUCAUCAUCACAAAUUCACAAAAACUUGUUUUCAUUGAGUUGCUUUUAGACUACUCCUAAUUGCAAUUGCUUCGUUGUAUCUCCUAAGCGAUUCCGUGAUACCCAAGCAGUAGCAUAGGGCCUUAAUAAAGCUUUUGGGAAAGUGAUAUCUUUCACACCUUGAAGGUUCUCGAUGUUGUUCUUGAUCGUUGUUUUUUUCAUCACCUUUGAGACCCUUUAUUUCCAUCUUUAUUUCCAUAUAAUCCCCAGCAAUCCAAAAACUUUAUUUUUUUGCAAAUAUGGCUACCAUCAAGGAAUUGAUGAUGAAUGUUCAAAAGUUAGACAAGUUUAAGGGUGUCGGUUUUCGUAGAUGGCAAAAGAAGAUGCAUUUUCCCUUGACUUCUCUUAGUGUGGCUUAUAUUCUUACUACCCCAAAGCCAUUGGAGGAAGUAAGUGAGACAUUGGAGACCACAAGGAAGAGGAACAAAUGGGAGAACGAUGAUUAUAUUUGUCGUGGUCACAUUUUUAACGGUAUGUCUGAUGACUUGUCUGAUAUUUAUCAGCUGCUAAAAUGCUUUGGGAUGACCUUGAAUCAAAAUACAUGGCUGAAGAUGCAUCUAGCAAGAAGUUCCUUGUUAGUAAUUUCAAUAAUAUUAAGAUGGUUGAUAAUAGGCCUGUAAUGGAACAAUUUCAUGAAUUACAAAAAAAUUUAGGAAACUUUAAGCCAAAUGACAUUAAUGUUGAUUAAACAUUUGUAGCAUCUUCUAUUAUUGACAAACUCCGACCCACUUGGAAAGAUGUUGGAAAUUCUUUGAAACAUAAGAAGUAGAAAUGAAUGUUGAAGAAUUGGGCUAAAAGAUUUCUCUUUCCUAGCCAUCUUACUUCUCCUAGGUUGAGAUGAUGAUGUAAAUGCCUCAUUUUCAACUUAAGCUUAACCAUCUAAAUCUUAAUCAAGUGCAAUUUGAUCAACACUGUAUUUUAUCAACACUUAAAGCAUUGGUAUUUGGAGUAACAUCCUUUGAUUUGGGAAUUGAUGAAUAUUUGUUUUAAUCAAAUAAUGCAUCCUUUAACUUUAUGGUGGUGCGAAUUGACCAAAAGUCAUUUUGUUUAAUAACAUAAAACUGGUAUCUAUAAAAAUGCAUUCAAACUCCUCUUUCACCCUAACUUUUUACGUUUGGGAUCCGACACUUUCAUAAAUGCCCUACAUCCCCAAACCUUGAGAUGACUCAAGUUUGGUUUCCUUUUGUACCAUAGCUCAUAUGGAGUUGCCUUAUUCUUUUUCAUAGUAACUUGAUUUAAAAUAUAACACCGCUUCUCCCCGAAUCCAUCACUCAUGAAUAGGAUAAGAUGGAAUUAACCUUUUCCUGUAAAGUCCUAUUCUUUUUAUCUGCUACACCAUUUUGUUGUGGUGUAUAUGUCGUGGUUGUUUCAUGUAUAAUACCUAAAGAUUGAAAAUAAUUUGUAUCAUAGUACCUUUAUCAGUCUUUUAACUUUUCUGUUUGUUUGCGAUUCUACUUCAUUUUUGUAGAUUUAAAUUUGUCAAGGGCUUCAUCCUUAGAAAAUAAGAAGUAAACAAAGCAAAAUCUUGAAAAAUCAUCAAUGAAUGUUACUAAAUAUUUCUUAUUGCCUAAGGAAGGAGUAUUAUGAAAAUCACAUAGAUCACUAUGCACCAAAUCAAACAAUGUAGUAUUCUUUUCUAUAUUAUUUUAAAAUGGAUUCCUUGUUAUUAACAUGCAUGUUCUACACUUCUCUAUACUUUGGAUCAAAUAAUGGAAUUAAAUCAUUCUUCAACAUAAUUCAGAAAGUAAAGCUUCUUAUAAUUAACAUGUCCAAGUCUAUAAUGCCAUAGAGAAGAGUUAUCACUUACAACAUAAACAUUGUCUUAAACAUUAUUACAAAUACUUAACUUAAACAUUCCAUUAGAAAGAUAUCCAAGUCCUACUAACAUACCACGCUUAGAUAAAAUAAACUUAUCAGAUUCAAACACUAGUUUAAAAGUAGCACUAGACACAAGAUUUCUUCUAAGCUCAUGAGAAUAUAACACAUGACUAAGUAUUAAAGAUUUGCUAGAACUAAACAUCAAUUUUACUUGUCCUUUGCCUAAAACUCUUGCGGUAGAAUCAUUCCCCAUGUAUAAAAUCUCUCCAUUAGUAAUCUCAAUGGAAGUCUUAAACAAAGAACGAUCCUUACAUACAUGUCUUGAUGCUCUUGAAUCGAUAUACCACGAUGAAUUACCCUAUACACAAUGGAUUUUAGGAAUCACACACAAAUAGCCCAAUAUUGAUUUAAAUGAAACUUGUGUACAAGUACCUUAUUUGUCUUGGGAUUGGCUUAACUUGCCUUUCCCUUUUAAGCCUUCUUCUUGCUCAUCUUUUUCUUCCAUAUGAUGCAGUCCUUUUUUAAGUGAUUGGGCUUACCACAUACCCAACAAGCUCGUGGUUUUGAUGCAUCACCAUCGACUUUAGGCUUCUUGCCCUUGUUUCCAUUAGAGUCUUUAUCCCUCUUAUGAUUGUGACUAUCCUUGGACUUACCAUCCUCCACCAUAUUAACGGUGGAACUUGGAUUUUCAUCCUUAAGUCCAUCUUAAAUUCAAAUUCCCUCUUCAAUUCGAAGAUGGGAACCCAAUUCUUCUACAUUCAUUUCAUCUUUCUUAUGUUUCAAAGAAUUUUUAACAUCUUUCCAAGUGGUGGGAGUUUUUCAAUAAUAGAAGAUUCUACAAAUGUUUAAUCAACAUUAAUGUUUGCUGUCUAAAGUUUCCUAAAAUUCUUUGUAGUUCAUAAAAUUGUUCCAUCACAGACCUAUUAUCACUCGUCUUAAAUUUUUUGGAAUUACUAUGAUGAGACUUCUUGCUAGAUGCAUCUUCAACCAUGUAUUUUGAUUCAAGAUCAUCCCAAAGAAUUUUAGUAGAUUCAUAAAAUUGUUAAAUAUCAAACAAGUCAUCAAAUAUGACCACGACAAAUAUAACCAUCGUUAUCCCAUUUGUUCCUCUUCCUUGUGGUCUCUAAUGUCUCACUUUCUUCCUCCAAUGGCUUUGGGGUAGUAAGAAUAUAAGCCACACCAAAAGAAGUCAAGAGAAAGUGCAUCUUCUUUUGUCAUCUACAAAAACCGACACCCUCGAACUUGUCUAACUUUUGAAAAUUCGCCAUCAAUUCCUUGAUGGUAGCAAUCUAUUUUAAAAAUAAAGCUUUUGGAUUGUUAGGGGUUAUAUGGAAAUAAAGGGUCUCAAAGGUGAUGGAAAUAACUAUGAUCAAGAACAACAAUGAGAACCUUUGAGGCGUGAACGAUAUCACUUUCCCAAAAGCUUUAUUUUGACCCUGUACUAUUGGGGUAUCACGGAAUCGCUUAGGAGAUACAACGAAGCAAUUGCAAUUAGGAGUAGUCUAAUAGCAAUUCAAAGAAAACAAGUUUUUGUGAUGAUGAAUCUUAGAGAGAGUAAUAAACAAACAAAGAGAAUGAAAAGCAUGCGGGCUGGACCGGCGGAUCCUGCUUAAUUGAGCGGUUGAGCGACGCUAUUCCAGCGUGCUUGUGUGCCCGAUUGGCAGGCAUGACCCCGAUCGAGCGAGCUUCGCCCUUGCCCUUGUGCUUCGCUCUUGCUCUAAUUCUUUGUUUUCCUUAAUUAGCAUCACCUUAACCACGCUCAUUAAGCAAAACUAACAUUAAUUAUAUCUCCAAUACUGUAAAUAUAUCCUACAUAUAUCCUCAUGGACCUCAUAGCUUCAACCCUUGGCCAAAUGUUCUCAACUUACCAUAAUACUUUCCCCAUUCACGUUAAUAGUGUAAUUUAAAUUUGUAUACGACAUUUAAAUCGAGUAGUAUUGAGCAAUUAAAAUUAUUAUGUCAUUUAAUUAUGGAACAAAUGUGAUGUAGGAUUUUGGUGUGGGCACCAUUUCUUAACUUUAGGAAAUUCCCAAGAAACACAACAUUGAAAUAUUCAUGGUCUAAACCUUAAAAGCCAUCAGGGAUUAGGGUGGGUUUGUCAAAUAUCCAUGGGCUACCAUUGAAGAUUACGAUUGCAAAAUUAUUUCUAAUUGUCAUUAUCAAUUGUAUAUGUAUUGAUAAAUUGAUAUUUGUAACUUCACUCCUUUAAAAGAUUACAAUGUGAUUAUCAUUCACGACUCGAAGGUUCUUGUUGUUGUUCUUGAUAGUUGUUAUCACCAUAUAAUCCUCAACAAUAUAUAGCAAUAUAGGGGAAUGGAAUGAUUGUAAACACUUGGAUUUUUUUUUAUUUUUUUUUUUGGGGGGGGGGGGGGGAUGGGGUUAGUAGAUCCCAACCAUAACGAGGGUUGCAUUUCCAUUUCUUGAAGAGUUAACAUAUGUCUGCAAAAAUGGCCAUUUUCGAGUAUAUUGCCUGUAACACACACACACACACAAAAAGCAAUAAACAGAAAGAAUUGAGGUAAAAGAUUAAAGCUUUAAUUAACCAAACGCUUAAUGGUUCACGCAAAACAGUGAGUUUAGUUCACUACUCUUUAAUUAGUGACUUAGGUCGCAACUCUCAAGAAAACUCGCUUGAUACAAUGCCUCUCUCUCCCCUCUUUUUUAUUUAUGUACAUUCUCAAUCCCUAAAUUAUCUAAGUGGCUGCUCACUGGCUGAUGUGUUUUCUCAUUUCACUCUCUUAUUGGCGGCUUCUCUGUUAUGCUGCAGAGAUGGUGGUGUUGUUGCCACCAACCUUUGUGGGUAUUCUUUGUCUUCUUCUGGCAUAGGUAAGGACCUGCACCACGGUCCAUUAAAUUGCCAUCCAAAUUUGUUUCAAGCUUUUUCUACCACAUGGACAUUGGCUACAGCUAUAUGGCCAUGGCCCUUGGCUUUCCCAUUCCAUGUGAGGUUUUUGGGAAGUAGUCUUAGGAGCUUGGGGGGAAUCCACCUAGUGCUUUGCUGUUUUAUUCUCUCUUAAAAAACUGAUUUUUUUUUUUUAUUUAUUUUUUUUUUUUUUAGGAAACAAUAGAUGUUUCUUGUUGAACUCUUUUCCAUAUCGUUUAAUCUACUGUGAUUUCUCUCUUUGGUUAUUUAAUCUGUAGAGAGUGAGAGUUUGUUGAAGCUGAUCCUUUUUGCUGAAGAGAUCCCUGGUAUGCACUGCGCUUAAGUACUCAGAUCUCCAUGUUGCUUGCUGGCAAAUUACUCUGUUUUGAUUUCCAAACUUGAGAUAAAAAUUGGUAAAAUACUCCAAGUUAGUCUAAAUUGACUCAUGCACAGCCUAAAAUGACCCGAAAUGACUCAAAAACUAACCAAAAUGGAUAAAAGCACAAAACUCUAAUGUAUUCUAUGCUCUUAAAAAGCAUUAGACCUUGUUCACUUCAACUUA
RNA transcript from Chenopodium quinoa (quinoa), 7951 nucleotides. It is a transcript of the gene named tRNA 2'-phosphotransferase 1-like, with no coding region annotated. The transcript has 6 exons. Lineage: Eukaryota; Viridiplantae; Streptophyta; Magnoliopsida; Caryophyllales; Amaranthaceae. The record is from RefSeq and is a predicted model, not a curated record.